Butyricicoccus pullicaecorum 1.2 is the source of this 58-nucleotide small RNA. It matches the Rfam family "Streptococcus sRNA SpF59 (ldcC RNA)". Lineage: Bacteria; Bacillati; Bacillota; Clostridia; Eubacteriales; Butyricicoccaceae. The record is from Rfam.
UGACCACCCGGUUUUUUCUCCGGGGCAAGGCCAUACGGACAGCCGGGUCAACUGCCGA